RNAcentral lists this ribosomal RNA (293 nucleotides) under uncultured bacterium. RNAcentral's name for it is "partial 16S ribosomal RNA". It matches the Rfam family "Bacterial small subunit ribosomal RNA", at positions 505 to 796 of the family's 1533-position model. The record is from RNAcentral.
GUGUCAGCCGCCGCGGUAAGACGUAGGGAGCAAGCGUUGUCCGGAUUUACUGGGCGUAAAGAGCGCGUAGGCGGCUCGUUAAGUGUGAAGUGAAAUCUCCAGUGCUCAACACGGAAACUGCUUUACAUACUGGCGAGCUUGAGGAAAGCAGAGAUAACUGGAAUUCCUGGUGUAGCGGUGAAAUGCGUUGAUAUCAGGAGGAACACCCAUGGCGAAGGCAGGUUAUUGGGCUUUAUCUGACGCUGAGGCGCGAAAGCGUGGGUAGCAAACAGGAUUAGAUACCCCGGUAGUCC